GGGGCCCCCCCCCCCUAGUACGGUGGAGUGACCUGCAUGCUCCGUGAAUUCAGCUGGUGAGAUUGUUGUUGGGCUUGGUCAAGUGGGGUAGACACUGAGGUAUGCUUAGCUGCAUGUCCCGGCCUGCAGGUUGGGAUGCGCGAUACGCUCAUCAUGCGUUGCGCGCCUCUGUUGUUUAUCUGCCCUCUCGCCAGUGCAUUUUCGCGGAGUGAUCACCAAGAUCGGCGUUGCUGUCCGGCUGCUUCAGUUAAACCGGUCUUACGCGUCCUUGCGGCGUUGUUUGGUCGGGACGGCAGGUAGCCUGUUAGCUUGCUCUGCUUGCUUUCGGGUAUAAUCAGCUGACUGAGGUGGGACUGUGCAGUGCGUCGGAGCUGGCGGCCAGUUGUGCAUGCUCGUGUGUCAUGCCUUCCGAAGGAUCCUGUUUUGAUCGCUAUGUUGCCUGUUUCGGCGGGUCUAGCGGUAGACGGGGUUCUCUUGGUUGGUGGUUCCGCGGGUUGCACUUUACAGGGCCAAAAGUCUUUGGUGUCGUGGUAGACUAUCCACCUGACCCGUCUUGAAACACGGACCAAGGAGAGUAACAUGUGCGCGAGUCAUUGGGUGUAACGAAACCCAAAGGCGUAGUGAAAGUAAAGGGCUGGCUUGUUCAGUCUGAGGUGAGAUCCUGUCGUUUCUCAUGCGUGGUACCACCAAGCUUGGAGCGAUAGGCGCAUCACCGGCCCGUCCCAUGAUGUAGACACGGUCAUUGUACUCGUGCACCGUCGGGGCGGAGCAUGAGCGCACACGUUGAGACCCGAAAGAUGGUGAACUAUGCUUGCGCAGGUUGAAGCCAGAGGAAACUCUGGUGGAGGACCGCAGCGAUUCUGACGUGCAAAUCGAUCGUCAAACGUGAGUAUAGGGGCGAAAGACUAAUCGACCUCUAUCAGUGUCCACCCCCCCCCCUAGC
RNAcentral lists this ribosomal RNA (943 nucleotides) under Gorgodera sp. DW9. RNAcentral's name for it is "partial large subunit ribosomal RNA". The stretch from base 434 to 943 matches the Rfam family "Eukaryotic large subunit ribosomal RNA", at positions 1 to 977 of the family's 3401-position model. The record is from RNAcentral. Lineage: Eukaryota; Metazoa; Platyhelminthes; Trematoda; Plagiorchiida; Gorgoderidae.